RNAcentral lists this ribosomal RNA (492 nucleotides) under uncultured Eubacteriales bacterium. Its description in RNAcentral is "bacterial SSU rRNA". It matches the Rfam family "Bacterial small subunit ribosomal RNA", at positions 9 to 507 of the family's 1533-position model. Lineage: Bacteria; Bacillati; Bacillota; Clostridia; Eubacteriales. The record is from RNAcentral.
GAGUUUGAUCCUGGCUCAGGAUAAACGCUGGCGGCGCACAUAAGACAUGCAAGUCGAACGGACUUAACCGAAGUAUUUAUAUUUUGGAGCGGUUAGUGGCGGACUGGUGAGUAACACGUAAGCAACCUGCCUAUUAGAGGGGAAUAACAGUGAGAAAUCAUUGCUAAUACCGCAUAUGCUGUGAGUAUCGCAUGGUACAAACAGGAAAGGAGCAAUCCGCUAAUAGAUGGGCUUGCGUCUGAUUAGAUAGUUGGUGGGGUAAUGGCCUACCAAGUCGACGAUCAGUAGCCGAACUGAGAGGUUGAACGGCCACAUUGGGACUGAGAUACGGCCCAGACUCCUACGGGAGGCAGCAGUCGGGAAUAUUGCACAAUGGAGGAAACUCUGAUGCAGUGACGCCGCGUGCAGGAAGAAGGUUUUCGGAUUGUAAACUGCUUUAGAUAGGGAAGAAAAAAGACAGUACCUAUAGAAUAAGCUCCGGCUAACUACGUG